RNAcentral lists this ribosomal RNA (253 nucleotides) under uncultured bacterium. Its description in RNAcentral is "partial 16S ribosomal RNA". It matches the Rfam family "Bacterial small subunit ribosomal RNA", at positions 524 to 776 of the family's 1533-position model. The record is from RNAcentral.
UACGUAGGGCGCAAGCGUUAUCCGGAAUUAUUGGGCGUAAAGAGCUCGUAGGCGGUUUGUCGCGUCUGCCGUGAAAGUCCGGGGCUCAACUCCGGAUCUGCGGUGGGUACGGGCAGACUAGAGUGUGGUGGGGGAGACUGGAAUUCCUGGUGUAGCGGUGAAAUGCGCAGAUAUCAGGAGGAACACCGAUGGCGAAGGCAGGUCUCUGGGCCAUAACUGACGCUGAGAAGCGAAAGCAUGGGGAGCGAACAGG